GCCUCGAUGCCGUAGCUGUGGGCUACGAGGAGAGCCCAUCUCCGAAUCUGCAACAGUAGAGAAGUCUUUGCCUUUCCCACUACCGCCCUUAGAAGCCCACUUGGACAAAGCAAAACGAGGUACCGAUCCCAAAGAUUCAACUACAAGAGUCCCGCAAGCUUGUGAAUAUAAUAAGUAUUUGGCUCCCCCCCCCCCCACAAAAAAUGCUAAUACUUUAAUGAGUUUAUGAAACCAAACUUACCCUCUUGGUCUGUGACUUGCAAUGUGGAAGAAGCGGAAUGAUCCUUGAGGUCCAAGAGAGUGGUGUUGAUACGUAAAGUUCCCAUAGAGUGUCGAGCACUAGCUAGAUCAAACCAUCCCUUCAAACAGAACACUCAUUUUUCAACAUGAUCGAGUUUUUAAAGAUCAGAAAUGAAAAAGACACUACCAUUUACCUCUCGAAGCUUUGAAUUGAGAGAAUCCAUAAGCGUUAGAUACCCAUCCAACGAAUCCAAGAACUGCAACACCUUCUCAUCUCCUCGCUCAGUUUUAGCUUCUGCUUCAAUGGAUUCCUCUCCUUCUUCGCAAAUCUCAAUCUCUUCAGCUCCCGCCAUCUCGAUUUAGCUUCCAACAAACACGAAUGGAUGAUCCAAUCGAUCCAGAGCGCUCAGAGAGAGAGAGAGAGAGAGAGAGAGGAGAGAGAAUGACCCUCGAGGCUAUUUUCAUUAAUCUUUUGCUUAUACGAAGCCCAUCACUAAAGCCCAUUAAUUCAUCUGUUAAAGCCCAUUAAUUCAUCUGUUAAAGCCCAUUAACUUGGUUACGCGUCUGGGUCAGGUAAGUGUGUACACGGCCGACCGUUCGUCAAGUUGGCGUUUGAUGGCUCCACGUCUCUCUAUCUCUCUCUCAUGACUUUUCGAUUUAAGUCAGCGUCUCGUGCUUUCAUAUUUUUUCCAACUUUUAUUUAAUAUCGAAGUCUCCAUUUUUUAUUUCAUUUUCCUUCAAACCCAUCUCUUGUCCCCCUUGUCUGUUCAUUCCCUUAUCUUUGCCUGUCUCUCUCGCUCUCGCACGGGGAUAGACAAAGGACUUCCCGUUGAAUCCAAGCUCGACUCUACUUGCAGUUGGAUCCAUGGACGACGUAGAAGUCACACUCUCUCUCGCGUCUUUUGCUCAAAGAGAUUAUUAAAGAAGCUGUCAUUUAUUUUCUUGCUUUUGUCUCUUCUCUGAAUCUCUGAUACGCUACUGCGAUUUGAAUUAGUUUGGUAUGUUUCAUUCUCUUGUGGUGUUUUGUAAUGAUUCUCCUGAAAUGUUUGCUCUCUUUUUUUUUGUCGGUCUCCAUGAAUAGUUACUAAAUUUAGUAAUCUUAGCGUUUAUGGGAAUGGGUUUAGAAAGAUUCGAUUCAUGUUUUUCGUACUUAAUGUUAUGGUUUUGUUUCCUUUGGUGUGAAAAAAAAAACAAAACUGUGAAUGAACUUAGCUGAAUCUGGUAUAUAUUGUCCCCUUUUGUGUUGUCUGCUUCUUACCAAACUCUUGCAUUUAAUAAUUCAGUGUCUUGAUUCUAGCUGCCUUUUAUGAUCCUCUCUACCAUGCUUCGUUUAGCUGUAACUAGAAGCUUUAUAGAGAAUAAAGCGACUUAGUCAGCAAGGCGUUAAAGAAUAUUGACAUAGUUUUAUAUAUAUGGGCUUGAGCAACGGUUUUAAUAUCGGUUUCAAUAAUCAUUAUGCGUUUGCAGUGAGUGUUUAGGAAUAAGAUGGAUGGAGGCGAGUCAGAUGACAGCUCUCACUUCGAGCGAGGCGUAGACCACAUCUACGAAGCAUUCAUCUGCCCCUUGACAAAAGAAGUCAUGCACGAUCCCGUCACGUUAGAGAACGGACGAACAUUCGAGCGUGAAGCCAUCGAGAAAUGGUUCAAGAAAUGUCAGGACAGUAAUAAGCCUCCUUCUUGUCCUAUAACUUCUCAGGAGCUGAGUAGCGCCGACGUGAGCCCCAGCAUAGCUCUGCGCAACACUAUAGAAGAGUGGAGAUGGAGGAACGACGCCGCAAAGCUCGACGUCGCUCGUCAGGCACUGUUUCUAGGGAACGACGAGAGUGAUGUUUUGCAGGCUUUGAUGAACGUGAGGCAGAUUUGCAGGAGCAUACGUUCGAACAGGCAAGGCGUGCGUAACUCUCAGCUUGUGCGUAUGAUCAUCGACGUGUUGAAAAGUAACAGCCAUAAAGUGAGGUAUAAGGCUUUGCAGACACUUCAAGUUGUCGUUGAAGGAGAUGAGGAGAGCAAGGUUAUGUUCUGACUUGUAUCUCAAUCUUCUGCUAUUGCAUUGUAAUUAGGUCUCGGCUUUUGGUUUCGGUUCGAUUUCGGUUCAGAUGUUUUGGUUUUCGGUUCUAGAGAUUUAGAAAACUUUCGUUUAUUUAUAGAAUUCAGUUCAGUUUUGGUUAGUUUAUUUUAGUUUUUUGGGGUUUGGGUAACAAAGUUGGAACCGGCUAAUAUCGGGAAAAACUAGGGUCCAAUUUGGUUCCUGUUUGGUUUUGGUUUCCGAGGUAAUUUUAGAUAAUAUGUGUAAAAAUGUCAGAUAAUUAGGUUUUUAAAAGUCAAAUAUCAGAAUUCGUGGUGUUCGUAUAAAAAUGUCUGGUAACUCAUAUAAUCUUAAAUAUUUUGUGUAAGAAAAUAUUUUCGGUUUAUAAACAUUUUUAAGAUAUUUGGUUAGUUCGAAACUAAAUAUAAUUGAUAUUUUAAAUAUAUAAUCUAUAUUUUAAAAAUUCGGGUACCCAUUCGGUUUUUCUGUUGUGGUUAUUUAUGAAAUUUGGUUUGGAUUAUUUUGGUUUUGGUACCUAACUGUAAUGGUAAAACUUAUUAAAAAGUUUCAGCAUCUUGCAGGCGAUACUAGCUGAAGGAGACACUGUGCGUACACUGGUUAAGUUCUUGUCACACGAGCCAUCAAAGGGGAAAGAGGCAGCGGUUUCGUUGCUGUUUGAGCUCUCAAAGUCUGAAGCUUUGUGUGAGAAGAUUGGUUCGGUUAAUGGAGCGCUUAUCUUAUUGCUUUUUUUUUUUUUUUUUUAUGUGAGAGUAUAGUAUAGUUGGUGGUGAUGAGGAGUGUUACCUGUCUCAAAUGAAAGUUGAGCACCACGCAGCUUAGGCGAGACUAGACCUCCGAAUACCGACAGAGACUUGGCUCGUUCUUUUUUAAUCUGAAGAUUAACACACAUCCAAAUUAGUAAAACGGUAAAACACAUGUUGUACCUUUCUAAAGAUUAAAUGAUUGCUCACCUCUGCAUCUUCAUCAGCUGCUAACACGGUCUCACCCUUGGCUGAUGGUUUCUCUUCUACCGAAUCAAAUAAGCAAGAGAUAAAGACACAGACACACAAAAGGGCAUGGAAAGAAUAACAAACAGAUAAUUCUUAUUUAAUUUUACCAGCAAAGCCUCGAUGCCGUAGCUGUGGGCUACGAGGAGAGCCCAUCUCCGAAUCUGCAACAGUAGAGAAGUCUUUGCCUUUCCCACUACCGCCCUUAGAAGCCCACUUGGACAAAGCAAAACGAGGUACCGAUCCCAAAGAUUCAACUACAAGAGUCCCGCAAGCUUGUGAAUAUAAUAAGUAUUUGGCUCCCCCCCCCCCCACAAAAAAUGCUAAUACUUUAAUGAGUUUAUGAAACCA
RNAcentral lists this long non-coding RNA (3623 nucleotides) under Brassica napus (rape). Its description in RNAcentral is "long non-coding RNA (BNAP_LNC002994)". Lineage: Eukaryota; Viridiplantae; Streptophyta; Magnoliopsida; Brassicales; Brassicaceae. The record is from RNAcentral.